RNAcentral lists this transfer RNA (87 nucleotides) under Buchnera aphidicola BCc. RNAcentral describes it as "tRNA-Ser (GGA) (tRNA-Ser-GGA-1-1)". It matches the Rfam family "tRNA". From Rfam's summary of the family: Transfer RNA (tRNA) molecules are approximately 80 nucleotides in length. Their secondary structure includes four short double-helical elements and three loops (D, anti-codon, and T loops). Further hydrogen bonds mediate the characteristic L-shaped molecular structure. tRNAs have two regions of fundamental functional importance: the anti-codon, which is responsible for specific mRNA codon recognition, and the 3' end, to which the tRNAs corresponding amino acid is attached (by aminoacyl-tRNA synthetases). tRNAs cope with the degeneracy of the genetic code in two manners: having more than one tRNA (with a specific anti-codon) for a particular amino acid; and 'wobble' base-pairing, i.e. permitting non-standard base-pairing at the 3rd anti-codon position. Lineage: Bacteria; Pseudomonadati; Pseudomonadota; Gammaproteobacteria; Enterobacterales; Erwiniaceae. The record is from Rfam by way of RNAcentral.
GGUGAGAUGUCCGAGUGGUUUAAGGAGCAUGUUUGGAAAAUAUGUAUACUAAAAAUAGUAUCAAGGGUUCGAAUCCCUUUCUCACCA